CUACGGGCGGCAGCAGUGGGGAAUAUUGCACAAUGGGCGCAAGCCUGAUGCAGCAACGCCGUGUGAGUGAAGAAGGCCUUCGGGUUGUAAAACUCUGUCCUAAGGGAAGAAACAAAUGACGGUACCUUAGGAGGAAGCCCCGGCUAACUACGUGCCAGCAGCCGCGGUAAUACGUAGGGGGCAAGCGUUAUCCGGAAUCACUGGGCGUAAAGGGUGCGUAGGCGGCCUGGCAAGUCAGAGGUGAAAGGCAUUGGCUCAACCAAUGUAAGCCUUUGAAACUGUUGGGCUUGAGUGCAGGAGAGGUAAGUGGAAUUCCUAGUGUAGAGGUGAAAUUCGUAGAUAUUAGGAGGAACACCAGUGGCGAAGGCGACUUACUGGACUGUAACUGACGCUGAGGCACGAAAGCGUGGGGAGCGAACAGGAUUAGAUACCCGCGUAGUC
RNAcentral lists this ribosomal RNA (441 nucleotides) under uncultured bacterium. RNAcentral describes it as "partial 16S ribosomal RNA". It matches the Rfam family "Bacterial small subunit ribosomal RNA", at positions 339 to 795 of the family's 1533-position model. The record is from RNAcentral.